UACGGAGGGGGCUAGCGUUGUUCGGAAUUACUGGGCGUAAAGCGCACGUAGGCGGCUUUGCAAGUUAGAGGUGAAAGCCCGGGGCUCAACUCCGGAAUUGCCUUUAAAACUGCAUCGCUAGAAUUGUGGAGAGGUAAGUGGAAUUCCGAGUGUAGAGGUGAAAUUCGUAGAUAUCGGGAGGAACACCUGUGGCGAAAGCGGCGCACUGGACCAUAACUGACGCUGAGGCGCGAAAGCUAGGGGAGCAAACAGG
This 253-nucleotide ribosomal RNA is filed under the name uncultured bacterium. RNAcentral describes it as "partial 16S ribosomal RNA". It matches the Rfam family "Bacterial small subunit ribosomal RNA", at positions 524 to 776 of the family's 1533-position model. The record is from RNAcentral.